Molecule: long non-coding RNA, 257 nt
Organism: Sinocyclocheilus anshuiensis
Lineage: Eukaryota; Metazoa; Chordata; Actinopteri; Cypriniformes; Cyprinidae
Exons: 4
Source: RefSeq, a predicted model, not a curated record
AGCAACAGCGGACCAUCUUCAUCAGGGAUUGAAGGUCAUCAUCAAAGGCUUCCUACAGAAAUGCCCUGAAGCUGAGUAAAGAAAGUCAUGCAGGUUUGGAUCGACAUGAGGCAAGACGCAAAUGCAAGAAAACGAUUUUCUGCGGUGAGAUGAGAAGAGCAAAAGGGCGAGAAAGAGGAUGAAAAGAAAAGAAAUGGGUUCCUAGCGCUACAAACACCACUGCUGUGACAGAGUCUUUGAGUCCGAUGGUGCAGCCG